This 832-nucleotide ribosomal RNA is filed under the name uncultured bacterium. Its description in RNAcentral is "bacterial SSU rRNA". It matches the Rfam family "Bacterial small subunit ribosomal RNA", at positions 596 to 1441 of the family's 1533-position model. The record is from RNAcentral.
GAAAUCGUGAGGCUCAACCUCAUACCCAUUACCAAAACUGCACUGACUAGAGCAUGAGAGAGGUGGCUGGAAUUCCCUGUGUAGGAGUGAAAUCCGUAGAUAUAGGGAGGAACACCGAUGGCGUAGGCAGGCCACUGGCUCAUUGCUGACGCUCAGGCACGAAAGCGUGGGGAGCGACCGGGAUUAGAUACCCCGUUAGUCCACGCCGUAAACGAUGGAUGCUAGCUGUAAGACGUAUCGACCCGUCUUGUAGCGAAGCUAACGCGUUAAGCAUCCCGCCUGUGGAGUACGAGCGCAAGCUUAAAACAUAAAGGAAUUGACGGGGACCCGCACAAGCGGUGGAGUGUGUUCUUUAAUUCGAUGGUAAGCGAAGAACCUUACCCAGGUUUGACAUCCUUGGAAUUUCUCCGAAAGGAGAAAGUGCUUUUAGAGCCAAGUGACAGGUGUUGCAUGGCCGUCGUCAGCUCGUGUCGUGAGAUGUUUGGUUAAGUCCAUCAACGAGCGCAACCCUUGUGAAUAGUUGAAUUUUUCUAUUCAGACUGCCCUGGUAACAGGGAGGAAGGGGGGGAUGAUGUCAGGUCAGUAUUACCCUUACAUCUGGGGCUAGAAACACACUACAAUGGCCGGUACAAAGGGCAGCCAAGUCGCGAGACGGAGCAAAUCCCAUCAAAGCCGGUCUCAGUUCGGAUAGCAGGCUGAAACUCGCCUGCUUGAAGCUGGAAUCGCUAGUAACGGUAGGUCAGCAUACUACCGUGAAUACGUUCCCGGGUCUUGUACACACCGCCCGUCAAACCAUGAAAGUCACCAAUACCUGACGUCUUAGCUAGACUAG